Molecule: long non-coding RNA, 209 nt
Organism: Mastomys coucha (southern multimammate mouse)
Lineage: Eukaryota; Metazoa; Chordata; Mammalia; Rodentia; Muridae
Exons: 2
Source: RefSeq, a predicted model, not a curated record
GACGGCGGCAGCUACCGGGCUCCGGAAUCGGCGGCGGCGGUGGCGGCGGCAGCUGCACUUCCGCUCCGGCCACCACUUCCGCUCUAGCCCAAGUCCCGCCCCACCCUGAGUCGACUCCUCAUUGGACCAAGGAAGCUUCAUGAAGUGUCAAGAACAGAACAUCCCCAAGGUCUUUAAAAACAAAACAAAAAAACAACAACAAAACCCAA